This 253-nucleotide unclassified non-coding RNA is filed under the name uncultured Verrucomicrobiota bacterium. RNAcentral describes it as "uncultured Verrucomicrobia bacterium contains 16S-23S intergenic spacer region". It matches the Rfam family "Bacterial small subunit ribosomal RNA", at positions 524 to 776 of the family's 1533-position model. Lineage: Bacteria; Pseudomonadati; Verrucomicrobiota. The record is from RNAcentral.
UACGGAGGCCCCGAGCGUUACUCGGAUUCACUGGGCGUAAAGGGUGCGUAGGCGGCCGUGUGUGUCAGGUGUGAAAGCCCAAGGCUUAACCUUGGAACUGCAUCUGAAACUACACGGCUAGAGUAUUGGAGGGGUGAGUGGAAUUCCUGGUGUAGCGGUGAAAUGCGUAGAUAUCAGGAGGAACACCUAAGGCGAAGGCAACUCACUGGACAAUUACUGACGCUGAGGCACGAAAGCGUGGGGAGCGAAAGGG